UUCGAAGGGGGCUAGCGUUGUUCGGAAUCACUGGGCGUAAAGCGCACGUAGGCGGAUCGUUAAGUCAGGGGUGAAAUCCCGAGGCUCAACCUCGGAACUGCCUUUGAUACUGGCAAUCUUGAGUCCGGGAGAGGUGAGUGGAACUGCGAGUGUAGAGGUGAAAUUCGUAGAUAUUCGCAAGAACACCAGUGGCGAAGGCGGCUCACUGGCCCGGUACUGACGCUGAGGUGCGAAAGCGUGGGGAGCAAACAGG
Molecule: ribosomal RNA, 253 nt
Filed under: uncultured bacterium
Lineage: Bacteria
Description: partial 16S ribosomal RNA
Rfam family: Bacterial small subunit ribosomal RNA
Source: RNAcentral